ACUCGCUCCACUCAAGGUUACGUCCUGUCUGAAGUUGAGAACUGAUGACUGUCACCGCGGCGGGUGAAAUGUGGCGGAGUCCGGGAGGAAAAAUGACCAUUGUCUCUACUGGCGUGAACGCGUGAACGUGUGAAAUGACGGAGGGAGGACUCGCCGCGGCCCGGCGGACGUUUAUCACCGCCGAACCACCGCUUUGUGUCGGCGGCUCAGAGCCGGGGGUCAGAGGUCAGCCGGCCGCGACACAGACGCGGGAAGGUCGGGCCGCGCGACCCGCGCUUGGCCCCCGACACCGCCGUUGCCGUGGCAACGGCGCUGCAGACAAACACGAUGUCGGCGGACGGCGAGAGGCCACAGAACAACGCGGCGCUCGCUCGCGGGAGGGAAAAGAAGACGUUUACUGCGCCCGAUGCGCCGAAAACAACACAGAUAAUUCGAAAGAGCCUCAUUAUCAAAGUCUGCUCUCGCGCGCGUGUAGUUCUAAACUUUCUGCGCGGCGGAGAGUUAAAGAAGAAGAAAGAACCUCGUCUAUGCCCCAGUUCUCCCUUUAGACGACACGCUGAAGGCUGGAAACCAACUGGAGCCAGGAGGGAAACGGAGCAUUUUGCAUGUUCUGUAAAUGGACAUGACAGAUUUAUUUCUCAGUAAAGAUAAACCCAGUGAA
Betta splendens (Siamese fighting fish) is the source of this 661-nucleotide long non-coding RNA. RefSeq lists it as uncharacterized. The transcript has 2 exons. The record is from RefSeq and is a predicted model, not a curated record. NCBI's taxonomy places the organism in Eukaryota, Metazoa, Chordata, Actinopteri, Anabantiformes, Osphronemidae.